AUGAAGAAGAAACAGAUGGUCCAUGGAAAUCAAAGCAACAAGCGUGCAUGGUUGGUUCAGAGAAAACAAAAUGGUGACAUUGAGUUUGCUUCGAGUACAACAGUUGACGAACACGCUUUAGAAGCAUCAAAUUUUGCUAGAGGCUCAACAUAUACCGAUUUGACUAGAAGAAAAGAAAUAAGUAGGUUGAAUCGAGCAAAUAGGAAGUUACAAUUGAUGAAAAAAAGAGGUAAAUCUCAGAGCUCUCCAAGUGAAGUUUCAAACUUCGGAAAACCAACAUGCUUAUGUCCAUUCUGCAAUGCUAUAAUGUGGCAUCAAGAGAGAAGCAAGAAUAACACAAACAUAUCAAGACCAACAUUCGGAGUUUGUUGCAAGGAAGGCAAAGUCAAAUUGCCACCAUUGAAAAAACCUCCAGCAUACCUUCAGCAGCUACUAAUGUCUAAUGAAAAGGGAGAAUCCUCAAAUUACAGAGACAAUAUCAGGAACUAUAAUUCAAUAUUUGCAUUUACUUCGAUGGCUGGCCAGGUCGACUACGAGAUAAACAAAAGAGGGGGUGCACCGUAUGUUUUUCGCUUGAAUGGCCAAAACUAUCAUCAAAUUGGCACAUUGCUACCUAAAGAUAGUGGAGAUAAUGGUUGCAGGCCAAAGUUUGCUCAAUUGUACAUUUAUGAUACAGAAAAUGAGGUCAAAAACAGAAUGCAGGCUUCAACCUCAAAGGAAAGGAAAACACAACUAGAUGAAGGCAUCGUGUCUAGAUUAUUGGAGAUGCUUGAUGAGAACAACGAGUUAGUGAAAUCAUUCCGUAUGGCAAGGGAUAGAUACCAAGAGUCAGAUCUCGAAAAUGUUAGGUUGCGAUUAAUUGGUAAAAGGUCCAGCGAUGGAAGACAAUACAACAUACCAACUGCAUCUGAAAUAGCUGCACUCAUUGUUGGGGAACAAACAGGAGAAAAUGUUGGCCGGGAUAUAAUAGUAGAAAAUAAAGACAAACAACUCCAAAGAAUUUCAUAA
Molecule: ribosomal RNA, 1008 nt
Filed under: Triticum aestivum (bread wheat)
Lineage: Eukaryota; Viridiplantae; Streptophyta; Magnoliopsida; Poales; Poaceae
Description: partial small subunit ribosomal RNA
Source: RNAcentral